Molecule: ribosomal RNA, 492 nt
Filed under: uncultured bacterium
Lineage: Bacteria
Description: partial 16S ribosomal RNA
Rfam family: Bacterial small subunit ribosomal RNA
Source: RNAcentral
AGUGAACGCUGGCGGUAGGCCUAACACAUGCAAGUCGAACGGCAGCACAGUAAGAGCUUGCUCUUACGGGUGGCGAGUGGCGGACGGGUGAGGAAUACAUCGGAAUCUACUUUUUCGUGGGGGAUAACGUAGGGAAACUUACGCUAAUACCGAAUACGACCUACGGGUGAAAGCAGGGGAUCUUCGGACCUUGCGCGAUUGAAUGAGCCGAUGUCGGAUUAGCUAGUUGGCGGGGUAAAGGCCCACCAAGGCGACGAUCCGUAGCUGGUCUGAGAGGAUGAUCAGCCACACUGGAACUGAGACACGGUCCAGACUCCUACGGGAGGCAGCAGUGGGGAAUAUUGGACAAAGGGCGCAAGCCUGAUCCAGCCAUACCGCGUGGGUGAAGAAGGCCUUCGGGUUGUAAAGCCCUUUUGUUGGGAAAGAAAAGCAGCAGGUUAAUACCCCGCUGUUCUGACGGUACCCAAAGAAUAAGCACCGGCUAACUUCGUG